Fukomys damarensis (Damara mole-rat) is the source of this 571-nucleotide long non-coding RNA. RefSeq lists it as uncharacterized. The transcript has 3 exons. Lineage: Eukaryota; Metazoa; Chordata; Mammalia; Rodentia; Bathyergidae. The record is from RefSeq and is a predicted model, not a curated record.
CCGGUUAUGCACGGGUUGUUUCCGAGCAUCUCCCCUAUGCGUGACAUUUGCCAGCUGAAGAGGGAGACCGAAAGACCUAGAAGACAUCGGAUCUGCCUUCAGGAGCUUCCUGCCUGCAACCCAGGAAGAGGAGAGGAGAAAGCUGAGGUCCAGCAAGGGGCAGCACCUCUGACCAUGGCUACUUGGCCUCAAGGCCUUGUGGACCCCUGAGAAUCACCCCUCAAGGUGUACACAGUGCCCUCCUGCUGCCUCCAUGCCCCCGCUCCAGCAUAGGCCUUCCUGUCCUGCUCAGGGACAGGUCUCCACGGAGCUCAACAUGAGACCCACUCUGCUGAAGGUGGCUUCCAGGGUUCCUGAGGGUUGAACGUAUUCCUUGAGCGCUAUAACAGCAUUGAAACCCAGAGAUGUGAAGUCAUUUGUCCAAGGCCACAAAGCAUAGUUAAUACAAAGAAAUAAGCUGAAAUUGGCAGUUUUUUUAAAAGUCAAACAUACAUCCGAUGUGCAACCCAGCAAUUCCAUUCCUAUGCGUUGACCCAAGAAAAAAUGAACACAUACACCCAGUAAAGUCUUG